This 709-nucleotide ribosomal RNA is filed under the name uncultured Rhizobium sp. RNAcentral's name for it is "bacterial SSU rRNA". It matches the Rfam family "Bacterial small subunit ribosomal RNA", at positions 8 to 714 of the family's 1533-position model. Lineage: Bacteria; Pseudomonadati; Pseudomonadota; Alphaproteobacteria; Hyphomicrobiales; Rhizobiaceae. The record is from RNAcentral.
AGAGUUUGAUCCUGGCUCAGGAUGAACGCUAGCGGCAGGCCUAAUACAUGCAAGUCGAACGAGAUUAAGGGGCUUGCUCCUUAUGAAAGUGGCGCACGGGUGCGUAACGCGUAUGCAACCUACCUCAAUCAGGGGGAUAGCCCGAAGAAAUUCGGAUUAACACCGCAUAAAAACACAGUACAGCAUUGUACAAUGUUCAAAUAUUUAUAGGAUUGAGAUGGGCAUGCGUGUCAUUAGCUAGUUGGCGGGGUAACGGCCCACCAAGGCGACGAUGACUAGGGGAUCUGAGAGGAUGACCCCCCACACUGGUACUGAGACACGGACCAGACUCCUACGGGAGGCAGCAGUAAGGAAUAUUGGUCAAUGGAGGCAACUCUGAACCAGCCAUGCCGCGUGCAGGAAGACAGCCCUCUGGGUCGUAAACUGCUUUUAUUCGGGAAUAAACCUUAUUACGUGUAAUAAGCUGAAUGUACCGAAGGAAUAAGGAUCGGCUAACUCCGUGCCAGCAGCCGCGGUAAUACGGAGGAUCCAAGCGUUAUCCGGAUUUAUUGGGUUUAAAGGGUGCGUAGGCGGCUUAUUAAGUCAGGGGUGAAAGACGGUGGCUCAACCAUCGCAGUGCCUUUGAUACUGAUGAGCUUGAAUGAACUAGAGGUAGGCGGAAUGUGACAAGUAGCGGUGAAAUGCAUAGAUAUGUCACAGAACACCGAUU